AGGUGGUUACUCCAGUGUGAAGCGGCUUCCAGGCAUCCAUUUCCUUAAGACUACACAAAGAAUCCAUUACUGGAAAACAUCCAAAUCUGCCAGAUAAUUGCCUCGAUCCAUGUUCUCUUCACCUUGGAGGCAAACGUGGGACAAUAUUUUUAAUCCCAGUGCAUCUGCCUGUUCCUAGGCUAGCAUCUGGUUACAGCUGCUUUUUUUUUUUUCAUCUGGAGGGACCUCUUUGGUGCAAACCGAGCCGAACCUGCAGUAUGGCUGCCAUGGCAAGCAAGCUCCGGGCUAGGGACUUCUUUGGUGCAAACUGAGCGGAUCCUGCAGUAUGGCUGCCAUGGCAAGCAAGCUCCGGGCUAGGGUGAACAGAGUGAGAAAGGCUUCCACUAUGAUCUCUGGUUGUGUCUACAUCUUAGAGUUCCAGUGAAGGGCGGGGGAGAGGUCCUUGCUUUGUUGGCAUUCUUGGAGCAACACUGCCAUCAAGCGGAAUUGCUUUCCUGUUCCUGCCAACACCUCAGGAUGCUGUUUCUUAGUAUGAGGAUCCUCGGAGAUUCUGGUACCAAGACUGAAAUAAAGGGGCUCCAGCUGGCUUGCCAGUCCUGGGGAACUCUGAAGAACCAUCUUGCCUUGUUGUGACAAAGUUCAACAGUCAAUUUCCUGUGGGUCCUGCAUGUCCAGUUUAUACAACAUACUGUCAAGCAGUCCAGGCAAGAGCAGCUUGCCACAAUGAAAACAAACUUCUAUGGAGUUUCUUUGAUGCCCAUCAUCCUUUAUGAAGUAAAUUGCUAUUGCCAGG
Molecule: long non-coding RNA, 793 nt
Filed under: Cricetulus griseus (Chinese hamster)
Lineage: Eukaryota; Metazoa; Chordata; Mammalia; Rodentia; Cricetidae
Description: lncRNA (ENSCGRG00015039598.1)
Source: RNAcentral